Molecule: non-coding RNA, 419 nt
Organism: Danio rerio (zebrafish)
Lineage: Eukaryota; Metazoa; Chordata; Actinopteri; Cypriniformes; Danionidae
Source: RefSeq, a predicted model, not a curated record
AAAACUGCUAAAUACAUUUUAAAUUCAAGAUAUAAAAUACAAGGUUAUUAUUUAAAUUGUCUAUGGAGUGAUCAUGUUUAUAAAUGUAAUACUGCAAGACUUUAAUGUGCGCGCGCGCGUCUUGCUUCCAACACUGGAGCGGAGAGGAUGUUGCUAUGGGAAACGAAGCUACAACACGACACGACGCCACCAUAAAGACACAACACGACUUCUCUUAAGCUGCCGUUUUGACUGUUUUCAGGAGUGAGAGAAUAACCCCCUGCUACAGAAAAUAUAACAUAAGAUUCCUACAUUUCUGAAGGGAGCUGAUCACAGAGAUGCAGAAAAGACAGGAGGUCAAAGUUUAACCUAAGUGCUGUGUAGCUGAUGAACAUCUUUAUAUGCAAAACCGGAGCACCCAGAGAAAACCCACGCAAACG